This 468-nucleotide ribosomal RNA is filed under the name uncultured bacterium. RNAcentral describes it as "partial 16S ribosomal RNA". It matches the Rfam family "Bacterial small subunit ribosomal RNA", at positions 28 to 507 of the family's 1533-position model. The record is from RNAcentral.
GACGAACGCUGGCGGCGUGCUUAACACAUGCAAGUCGAACGGAAAGGCCCUGCUUUUGUUGGGUGCUCGAGUGGCGAACGGGUGAGUAACACGUGAGUAACCUGCACUUGACAUUGGGAUAACUUCAGGAAACAGGGGCUAAUACAGGAUAGGAGCUCCUGAUGCGUGGGGGGGGUUGGUAAGAUUCGGCGGUGGUGGAUGGACUCGCGGCUUAUCCGCCUGUUGGUGGGGUAGUGGAUUACCAAGCGUUUGACGGGUAGGCGGCCUGAGAGGGUGGCCGGCGUCAUGGCGCCUGCGGGACGGCCCAGUCGGGAAUGGGAGGCAGUGGGCGGAAACAUGGCGGAGCGGGGCGAAGCCUGUGGCGGCAGCGCCGCGAGCGUAAUAACGUCCUUCGGGUGAUAAACAGCUGUGGCCGGUGACGAAGAGUUAGUGACGGUAAUGAGUAAGAAAGCACCGGCUAACUACGUG